This 398-nucleotide ribosomal RNA is filed under the name uncultured bacterium. RNAcentral describes it as "bacterial SSU rRNA". It matches the Rfam family "Bacterial small subunit ribosomal RNA", at positions 358 to 773 of the family's 1533-position model. The record is from RNAcentral.
GGAAUAUUGGACAAUGGGCGCAAGCCUGAUCCAGCCAUGCCGCGUGAGUGAUGAAGGCCUUAGGGUUGUAAAGCCCUUUCACCGAUGAAGAUAAUGACGGUAGUCGGAGAAGCAGCCCCGGCUAACUUCGUCCCCGCAGCCGCGGUAAUACGAAGGGGGCUAGGGUUGUUCGGCUUUACUGGGCGUAAAGCGCACGUAGGCGGUUUGUUAAGUCAGAGGUGAAAUCCCGGAGCUCAACUCCGGAACUGCCUUUGAUACUGGCAAGCUAGAGUCCGGAAGAGGUAAGUGGAACUCCUAGUGUAGAGGUGGAAUUCGUAGAUAUUAGGAAGAACACCAGUGGCGAAGGCGGCUUACUGGUCCGGAACUGACGCUGAGGCGCGAAAGCGUGGGGAGCAAAC